RNAcentral lists this ribosomal RNA (315 nucleotides) under uncultured Lactobacillus sp. Its description in RNAcentral is "bacterial SSU rRNA". It matches the Rfam family "Bacterial small subunit ribosomal RNA", at positions 217 to 525 of the family's 1533-position model. Lineage: Bacteria; Bacillati; Bacillota; Bacilli; Lactobacillales; Lactobacillaceae. The record is from RNAcentral.
GCUAAAGGAUGGACCUGCGAUGCAUUAGCUAGUUGUAGGUAACGGCUUACCAAGGCGAUGAUGCAUAGCCGAGUUGAGAGACUGAUCGGCCACAUUGGGACUGAGACACGGCCCAAACUCCUACGGGAGGCAGCAGUAGGGAAUCUUCCACAAUGGACGCAAGUCUGAUGGAGCAACGCCGCGUGAGUGAAGAAGGUUUUCGGAUCGUAAAGCUCUGUUGUUGGUGAAGAAGGAUAGAGGUAGUAACUGGCCUUUAUUUGACGGUAAUCAACCAGAAAGUCACGGGCUAACUACGUGCCAGCAGCCGCGGUAAAU